This 903-nucleotide ribosomal RNA is filed under the name uncultured archaeon. RNAcentral describes it as "bacterial SSU rRNA". It matches the Rfam family "Archaeal small subunit ribosomal RNA", at positions 5 to 879 of the family's 1478-position model. The record is from RNAcentral.
CGGUUGAUCCUGCCGGACCCCACUGCUAUCGGGAUAGGACUAAGACAUGCAAGUCGAGCGGCCUCCAAGCCCCCAUGGUUGGGGGCGCGGCCCACGGCUCAGUAACACGUGGCUAACCUGCCCUUGGGACGGGAAUACCCCCGGGAAACUGGGGCUAAUUCCCGAUAGGUGAAGAACUCUGGAAUGAGUCUUCGCCCAAAAGGCGCUUAAGCAUGCUCUUAGGCGCCGCCCAAGGAUGGGGCCGCGACCGAUCAGGUAGUUGGUGAGGCAACGGCUCACCAAGCCUUUAACCGGUGCGGGCCGUGAGAGCGGGAGCCCGGAGAUGGGCACUGAGACAAGGGCCCAGGCCCUACAGGGCGCAGCAGUCGCGAAAACUUUGCAAUACACGAAAGUGUGACAGGGCUAUCCCGAGUGCCAUCCGCUGAGGAAGGCUUUUACCCAGUCUAGAAAGCUGGGAGAAUAAGGAGAGGGCAAGUCUGGUGUCAGCCGCCGCGGUAAUACCAGCUCUCCGAGUGGUGUGGAUGUUUAUUGGGCCUAAAGCAUCCGUAGCUGGCCGAGUUAGUCCCCUGUUAAAUCCACCGAAUUAAUCGUUGGAGUGCGGGGGAUACUGCUCGGCUAGGGGACGGGAGAGGCCGACGGUAUUUCCGGGGUAGGGGUGAAAUCCUAUAAUCCCGGGAAGACCACCAGUGGCGAAGGCUGUCGGCUAGAACGUGCCCGACGGUGAGGGAUGAAAGCUGGGGGAGCGAACCGGAUUAGAUACCCGGGUAGUCCCAGCUGUAAACGAUGCAGGCUAGGUGUUUGGGCGGCCACGGGCCGCUCUAGUGCCGCAGGGAAGCUGUUAAGCCUGCCGCCUGGGGAGUACGGCCGCAAGGCUGAAACUUAAAGGAAUUGGCGGGGGAGCAC